This is a non-coding RNA of Paramuricea clavata, 1563 nucleotides long. The record is from the annotation of a GenBank genome assembly. Lineage: Eukaryota; Metazoa; Cnidaria; Anthozoa; Malacalcyonacea; Plexauridae.
CUUGCAACUUCCAAUUGUAAACUAUUUGGGUGCUUUGACAUCAAUAUCGGUAUUAGUAAACUACCAUAUUGUUCUGGGGUAACCCCCAGUGCCUCUAACCCGCGUACAUGAACUCGAAUUUUAUCAUAAACAAACCGAAUACACACGUAAAAACGCACAAGUUGUAACAAACCUGCAGCAGACUUGUAGCAAGGCUGUUCAAACAACUUGUCAACAGGAUGUGUUCGCACUGUUUUUUUCCCAGAGUAGUAAUAGGAAGAAAGUAUAGGGAAAAAAAGGGGGGGGGGGAGUGUGAAGCAAUUUUAAAAUAGUAUAAAAAUAUAUGAAAAUAUGUACCGGAAAAAUGUACUGAAAGGGUGAUACUAGUACAUAUUGGACGGGGGGAGUUUUGCAAAGGCGUUACCCCAUAAGUAAUAAGGGUUGCGCAUGCAUGUACAGUACUUUCAUUUUUACCUCCGCACACAUUGCGCAUGCGUAAGGGAGCUCCAAACCCAAAGCCUCGUCGACCGAACUGAUUUGCGAUUUGAAUUUCGCGCGUAUCCAAUUGUGAAAAAGCGGAAGUGGUGUCAUAGCGAAAGCGGAAGUGACGUCAGCAUCGGAAGUGGUGGCGAUUAACAAUAAUUUACCCAGCGAAGAGGAGAAAAUAAUUUAAAAAUAAAUUUUUUCCACCAUUCCGCUGUAAUUUAUUGUUUUUUCUCCUUUCUUUUCUGCUUUUUCUCCUUCCUUUCAUUACAUACUAAAAAAAAAAUGUAAUUUCUGUGUAACCUCUUUCUCCAGAACAUAAAAAAUAUGUCCUGGAGACGAAGUUAAUACAAACAAGACGCCUACUCAGGCGUUCACUCCGCCUGCCGGCCUGCGGAGAAAAUGGGGACAAUGUAGGGUGCGACGGAAAAGUGAAGCCAAAUAUAAGCAUUCAACGACAAGUUGGUGUUCAUAGCAUUCAAAGAUAAGUUGGCAUUCAUGGCAUUCAAGGUUAAGUUGGCAUUCAUGGCAUUCAAAGUUAACUUGGCAUUCAAAGGAGCAAUGGCAUUUACACACUUCUUUGAAUUUUCAUAAGAAAGUGCCAUAACCUAUAAGAGACAGAAAUAGGAUAUUAAUUCUGACACACCAAUUCUGUUUGGACCAUCAUUGUAAUAAUAGAGGCCCAAAAAGCAUGUUUGAGUGGCUUGGUAGGUAUUCUGCCCAGAGUCCUAGUAGAGUUGAAUUAAAUACAUUACACAACACAUAGUAUCUAUUAACACACAAGGGCAGUAGAAAGAGCAAACCAAGCAAACCCAAGCUGGCUGUGAGUUCAAGAAGCUGACGUUUACAGUAACUUUAGGCUUUCAUAUAGCUAUCAUCGGAGACGUAGCAGGGGUUUUUAGUCAGAGGCCGAGAACUGAAUCCCAAGAGGGGCCAAGGAAUUUUCACUGUGCUUUAUUUUAUAUGGUUAUGUCUUAAUUUUCCGGCACACUAAAGCCAGGGUGCGAUAAUUCGCGUACCAACGUACCGGAGGUACGCCAAAUUUAUGGUCUGGUACUUCUUUGUUUUUAGGCAAGUACCACGUAGGUACGCGGAAAUUUG